Molecule: long non-coding RNA, 10337 nt
Filed under: Xyrichtys novacula (pearly razorfish)
Lineage: Eukaryota; Metazoa; Chordata; Actinopteri; Labriformes; Labridae
Source: RNAcentral
AGAAAAUUGAAUGCCUAGAAACCCCGGUGGAUGACAAAAAGCACCCUUUCAUCAUAAAAUCAUAGCCUGGGUGGCUUCUCAGUAGGAUGUCUGACCCAGAUAUCUGAAGCGAAUAUUUUACACUGCAGGCUUUGUGUAACAGAAAUCCAAACUGUGCAAUUUUAAAAUCAUAUUCUCAUAAUUCUACAGAGCUGAGGGGAGGAAAGUGUUCACAUCCAUUCAUCGAGACGCAUACACCAUCUAUCGCAUAGUUCUGCAAAGAUUCAAGGUCCGUUAUUCACCAGGUGGAGGAAGAGUCAGCUCAGGUAACGAUCAUGGUCUUCAGGUGUUUCGUGUAGAUCUGAUAACCCCCAGUUUAAAACAGCAAAACUUUUUCCAUCAACGUUAACAUUUUGAUUGGUUGUUGAGAUAAAGAUGUUUAAGACUGACUAAGAAAAUGUUAAUUAUUUAUGUUAAUUAUAGGCUUUUAUUUUGAAGGAGCUGGCUGUCUUGCAUAGAUUCUGCAUAAGAAACCUAAACAAUAGAAACCAACAUUUUAAGAGUUGUUUUCUUCUCCUCUUGAGGACAGAGCUGAUGUUUUACUAUGUACUAAUAAUACGAAGAAUCAUGUUGGUUUUUCAGUAAAUUAAUGACUCAUUUAUUACAAGAAAAUCUGUUUCUUUCAGGUUUAUACCACCAGACAAGAUCUCUGCACAAUUAAUAUUACAGUGAAUGAAGCAGAGUUGUUUUCCAUCACAGGAGCAGCAGGAAGAAGCUGCAUCGACUCAACAAAGGUGUGUACAUGAUUGAAAAAGUGCACAUGUUCAUUUCUAACCUUAAUUUAACUGUGAUGAACACAUUCACACCCACAACUCUUGUUACUGAUGUGACUUUAAUUUAAGACGAAUCUGAUCACAACUUUCUUUACAAGCACUUUAUCAUUGCAGCUAUUUUUCAAUUUUCAGACACUGCUGUUAGAAACAGAGAAAAUUAAAGCGCUGCAGUCUUCAAAGAAAGCAUUUUAAGGCUGCACCGCCUGACAAAAUAUUCAACGCCUUUUCUAAACGAGUUUCUUAUUUCUUAAAGCAGUAUUGAUUCUGUAACAGGAGAAAUGAUAGCAGAGAUUCGUGGACAAAAACAAAUGACACAUUUUCUGUCUCCUCCUCAAACAACUAGACGGCGGCUUCAAUCAUAAAGUCAAUUUCACUUUUAAGAUGAGGCUCAGGAUGGUUGCAGUAACUCCAUGUGACAUGUGGUUAUUAAAGCUAACGGCUUGCAUUAUGUGCAGAAAACAAAGGUGCAUGCAGAAAGCCAAUUUGGCACGCGGUCCUGGCUCACCGUUAAAUUCAGGUCAUUUCAGGCGUGUGUUGGAAACAGCUGUGCACGCUUCCACAAAAUGAGCCGUGUUCAUUAUCUGAGUUUAGGGUUCCAGAAGAUUAAGAGUUUGUUUAUUUGUGGCUGUGCGAGCGGUUACUAAGAUGGCUCUUACUGUCUCCGUCGAGGGAUUAGAAAGUCGUAAAACAGUGAAAUGUAAAAUGGUGUGUUAUCUGGUGGCACGGAGGAGUGUGGGGGGCCAGAUGUUAUCUUUAUGUGGGUAAUGGGUCAUCACAUCUUGGGGCAGAGAUUACAGAUUUACUGCCCUCCUCUCCCUCUCUGAGAUUUCACUGAAGCUUUUAUUAUCUUGUCCACACACUGUCACCUCAAUGACUUCACCCGCCUCCUCCUCCUCACAAUGCACAGACACAAAGCAGCUCAGCCUCCGUCACCUCGUUUACCCCCUCAGACCAGUCUUAACGGCUCCUUAUCACCAUAAACAUAUCAUUGAAUUUCAGCAAUGACUUUCCGGUUAUUAACUUUCAUUCUGCAGUGCUGGAGCCGAUGGGGAGAUGGGGAAUUUAUUUGGCUAUAGUUUGAGGAUUUUAAACGGUCAGCGGUUGUUUGGAUUCAGCUGCUUGGAAAAGGAGACUCUGAAUGGCUUUACAGAUGCUCUUUAUCAAACACUUUAAUGGGAGCCGGGUCAAGUGUCAAAAUAUAACAAGAACCUGCACAGACAGUCGACAAAGAUUGGUCUAAUUUAUCACCUUAAAUACUCACUUAACCACCCUGACGCAUUAAAAGACUUCAACAGAGGGCUGUGUUGAAUAUUAUACAGACUAAAGUGACAAGAUCUAACGCUAAUAUGGAUGUGAUCUUCAGGUCCUCUGGCAGCACUGCAUUAUGAGCUGUCAUGGCUCUGUAGUGGAAGUCACCAAAAAACGAACAUGCAAAAAGAAAACCAGAAAACUUUCAGGGAACUUUCUGUGAAAUUUGAAAUUUGAAAUCAUUGUCGUCAUAUCCAUGGAUGUGCAAGGCUGAUUUUGAACACAAUGCAAAAGAAUAAAGGGCUAGACCUGGCUAGAUCUUGAGGCAGCACUGCAUUAUGAACAAUUAAAGCGCUGUAGUGGAAGUCACUGCAUGGAUUAAAAUUAAUCACCUCUAAAAAAUUUAGUCUGUGAAUACGAUUUGUUGCUGCACCCACAAGUAAAGGGUAACCAUGCAAAAAUUAAACAUGCAAACAGGAAACCAGUUGAUUUUCAGAGCCUGACAGAUCAAAAUUUGACACUUGUUUUGGAAAUCUUUGAUAUUCGGGGUGCUAAACUGGUCCCAACUUGUUACCGAUUGGAAGUAUUCGCUGUGUCAUGAAAACACAAACAAAUAAGACUAAGGUGACCUGGACUGAUAAGCAGCUGUAAUCCUGAGUCUACCUUAUAUCUAUGCACCAUUUCCAACUAAAUAUAGACUUUAAAUUCUCUAUAAACCUUUAAAAUCUGUUUUAACUACAUUUUACACAGCGUCAUAACUUUUUUUUAACUUGGUUGGUGACCAGUGUCUCCUAAAAUAUCACCCUAUUUCUUCUUCUUCUUCAGUGUCAUCAGCUUAAGUCCCAAACUUUGGGUUGACAUAGACUUUUUUAGCCUGUCCCUACUCCAGCCACCGAGAAAACGCUCCAAGAAUAAACUGGGAUUAAAAUAUAUUCCCUAGGCCAUGUGGGCUGUCACAUUUCCAUGCAUGAGCGUUAAGUGGGAUCACGUCAAAAGAGUGGAGAGCGUGAUAUUUCCACUUAUGUAAUACAUCUUAAUAAAAAAAUAAAAGUCAGGCUACAUGCUGGACAUUAAGUCCUGCGUUUCUUAAAGCUUAGAGCCAACAUGUCUGCUGCUGUGAUUUAAGUAGAAAAAGAAGUCAUGCUCACAGAUCAGUGCGUCUUUACGGGGGCAUGGCUGAGCUUGGAGUAUAAUGUCAGCGUACUUACAUGCUCAAUAUAUCCAUAUUAAUGUUAAUCCCCUCAGCUAUAGAAACAUGUCGCUGCUAAAGGGAGUCAAUUGCUAAAUGCCGCCUUGAGGGGGUAAUUUUGCCAAUUAGUGCAAAUAUAUCGAUUAAAUAAUGUUUAAAUGUGAGUGUAAUUUGUAGCAAACCCUUCCUGUCACUCAAAGAGGCCACACCCCGAAUCCAUUAAGGUCAGUCUGAGCACAGUUUCCCGUUAGUUUAAAGCUGCGGACGAUCAACAAUCCAACAUUUCCAUCCCUUUUAAGCCGUCAAGCCAAAACUGCAGGGCCUAAUGAGCGGGGGAGGGAAAAUCCAUAAAGCCAAUGGUUUGUCACUGCAUGCAUGACUUAUAUUUGAGGCUGUUAGCUGUGUCACUUCUGUCAAUACAAGGAUUGAGAUUAAGAUGUCAGAGAUUCUGCAAAAAUUCCUCUUUUCUUUUGUUUCGCCUUAAUAAGGAGACAGACAGGGACGCUGCUGAUGAACAGCUGAGGGAUUUAAAGUUUUAGCUAAGGCUGUGAAACUUUAGGAGACGAGGAUCGCUGUCUGUUCAAAAUAUGACAGGAAAGCCUCAAAGUUUCUGACUUUUUCUGGAAAAAACAAGAAGUGUUGUAUCGGAGAUCCCCGUGGAUGCACGUGGACCCGUUCUGAUUCACAGCAUGUCCUGUUCAUAAGAUCUGACAAACGCAGCGUCACCUAUUGAUCCUCGUACCGCUCAACCCCUCCUGCCAGCAGAGCUUCUCUGUCAUCUAUUAUUAAACAGAGAGAUUCAACCUUAACACCUGAAGAACAGCACCGGACUGAUCUAAUCCUUUGUGAGAACUCGAGGCCAAAUGUCAAACACUCAGUCCUCAUCUGCAUUUUUUCAACUUUUGUCAUUAGAGUUUUUCAAGUGCAGGAAACUUCAGGUGACGGAGGAGUUUAAAGUGUUUCUGUUUGACUCUUCACAGUGAGAGGACUUUUCAAAGGUAACGGUGACAAAUGUGCGUUUGUUGCUGCAGAGUUUCAUUGUAUUUGACAUGCUCACCGGGGUGAAUCAGAGGGGAGCUCACGAUUCAAAUAAACCAACUCGCAAGUAUGAUGUCAAUACUUUCCUUGGAUUUCACGGCGCCUCUUUCUCUUAAUGGGGCCUUCAUUUUAAAUCUUAUUUCUAAGCCCCUGUGAGGAUUUUUUCUUCACUGCAAACAGAUUAAAAUUAAGAACUCUUCAUCUCAAGGUCUCUGACUCAGGGCUUUGUUCAAUAUAAAUGGAGUCUGAAACUGCAGGGUCUAUGUGAACAACAACAACACAGAGAUGAGCCGCUGAGACCUGAAGAGAAAGAGCAGAGUUGUGUAUGUUUUGGACAAAAAACCUGAGGAUGGAGCACAGCAGAGAUGAAUAUUUCAUUUUCACCUUUGCACUUCCUCUUUGAAACAGCCUUUGGAGAACAUUUGGGAGACAAAAUCCUGAUUUCAAAGAGAAGGGGAGAUCGGGGAGGGUUGUAACCCCCAAUUUCCACCAUAUCAGAGCGCCGUCCGCCAAUUCCUACUGGAUGCGUUUGUGGGGCGAAUUCCAAGGGGAAUUUCGGACAAUGGGAAUCGCAAGGACUCGCAAGAACCCGCAGAUUUACGUGCAAUUGCGCGAUAAAGGGUUCUCUCUAAAGAGACAGCCACAUACCCAUAUAAGCAGUAGAUUGUGUCCUUCCAGAGGAGGAAAUCCAUCCUGUCCAGACAACAUAUCAUGGUACUAAUUUGUAACUUACCAUCCACUCCCAUUACUCCUGCUAUGGAAUCCUACGCCAUAUCCUUUUUAUGACUGUCCUUACAAGGGAUGAUACGGGUAAAAGAUUAUUCAAUGAUUUUGGACUUCUAGAAUCAGCAUCUCCUUGUCCAUGGUGUCAUCAGGGUGAAAUGAAACUGAAAACCUUUGACUUGUUUACCCCCGCCCACAUUUGCAUGGUGUAAAAUACGAUCCGCCUGAAACACGUACACGUUUUUUGUGUUGAAAAGAAGCCAGAUGUUUUAUUUUGUGUCUGUGCUUGACUUCCUUUCUAGCACAGGCUAAUCUGUGCUGAAUUAAUGUGGCAUGCUGUGGCAUCCAGAAAAAACAGAACCCUGGCGAUCGGCUACAAAGUCUUCUGAACCACAGGGGGGUAAAGAAGCUGGUGGAAAUUGACACAUUACCUUGAAUGGAAACAAUCAGCGGUGACCAACAUUUUACCGCCGUUCCACAUGUGGUGAAAAUUCGGGGUAAGUCUCUUGAUUAUUCCAGCCAGUAUAUUUACACGUUGCUAAAAACAAAAGUGAUUCAUUGCAUCAGUCUAACAUUUUAGUCGGCACUAACAUACCUGGAUGAUGCAGCUGGGGGAUUUUCUAAGUUCUGUAUGUAUGGCUCUAUUUGGACUGAAACAGGCCGAUGCAUUCUGAGCAUGCUCCAGCAUUUUCAUGCCCUUCUUACAUCUGGUUAGGCUCUUGCAAAUAUGUUUCACUGAUUGGUUUGACAGUCAACAGGGAGAUGACCUGAUAGUCAAUCAAUCUGUGUUAUCCCAAGAUGCUCAACAAAAAGUUGGUCUAGACCAGACUCUAUUUACAAAGACCCAAUGUAAUGACAGGAUCAGAUCAGACCCACUUCCACCUUCAACCACAUGAGUGACGCUCUUUGCAGCAUUUAGAGACUUACAGUGGAGAGGAAGAACUUACUUUAACAGGCAGAAACCUCGAGCAGAACCAGACUGAUGUAAGACAGUCAUUUGCUGAGACUGAACUGGGUUGAGAGAGAGGAGAAAGAGGGAGAUGCGUAAUUAAAGCAGCUGAAAAGUACAAAGCAAAAGAUCUGCCGCAGCGAUCCAGAGGAACCUACGGCAUGAUGGAGUUCAGGGACUCCCAGGAAAGACUGAGUGAUGGUUACGAGCAGACAGGAGGUUUGUCACUAGUGACUGUAGUGGAAGUGGACAUAUGUCUGUUAAUAAUUCAAUUUUUGCCUGGUGUUUGUAAGCUGUGACGAGGACAUUAGUACUUAGGCUCCUAACAGGAGGACGGCUGUAAACGGGCACAUUUCUCGACUGAGAGAAAACUGAUUUUGAGAUUUGAAAGUUAAGUUUGUGAUCAAUACUGUAUUUUGUUUUGUACAUAUACUUCUGCAGUUAAACUUGUAUGACUUCUACGGGGUUCAACUGAAGUUUCUCAGGUAACCUCUUAAGGAUUUCUCCAAAAGGCGUGAAAGCUUCAAGGUUAACUUUUAUCUUUUCCAGGAUCCGUCGAAGAAGAAACUCCAGGAACUAUCUCAGAUUUUGGCUCCAGGAGCAGCUCAUGGGGUGAGUUACACCAUUUCUCUUUAUAAAAAGAGAUGUUUUUAUGAUUUGAUGAUUUUGAAUAUAUUUUUUUUAAUUAAUUCACAUUUAAAGCUAAACUCUGAAAUACAAAAUCAGGGAUCUCACAGCAGAGGUCAGAGGAGCAUGCUGGGAAAAUUAUGAUCUGGUUUUUACAGUGUUGUUUCAUUUAUAAUAACAAAUACUGAUAUUUCCCAGAUUCCAUUUUCAUGUUUUACUGAAAAGCCCGGUGGCAGUGGGGUUGUCAAAAUUAUCAUUUUUUCCCCAAAAAACAAAUAAAAUGAAACACAAACAUCACAGUAAUGGAUGCGCAGCAGGCCACACAGUGAACACACAGCCUUUUAUCACUGCUAUGUUUGUGUGUUUUCAGGGACACACACAGUCAGGCCUGCAGGCGUAUUAAGGAAAUCUCCUCCUAGUUUGUUUGUUUUACUUAAACUCAGCUUUUUCGCUGUCUUGCAUGUUUAAUUUGUGUUUCAAUGGCCUCAUUAUGCUCUAAUAUGAAUAAAAACUGCAAACGCAGCAGAGUCUGUACAUAUGGUCCAGCGUCUGAUGUGAUUUUAGGAGGUUGUUUGGGGACAUCUCAGCUAUCGGAUGACUCCCACGAUGCAGCACGGCGGUCGAUCAGCCUAUUCUCUGGUCCACAAUGCAAUAUUUGACAGUCAUACCCCCCUGCAGAGAGAGAGAGAGAGCUCCUAGAUACAAACUUCCCGCUUAGAGGCAAACAAAUCGGCUUUAUUUCCAAAUCUUAAACAGACAGAAUCUGCACAUGUGAUCCUUAUAUAAUACAGAUUUGAUAUAUUUGGCGUCCAGCUGACAGGAUGUGAUUUGUUCAGUGAAUCCUGCUCAUCCCUAUGUGGCAGGUGCGUCGUGUUUUUUUUUACACUCACCCUAAAGAAUACAACGAGUUGGCUCUGAAUAUUAAAGAGUGACACUGUAGGCUCUGCAUACGCUCAGAGGAGAAAUGCUGGAUCAGACAGAAAGGCUUACUCUGUCACAGCUGCUGUGAGGUAUUACGCAGAAGAGCAACUGUUUCAGAAGGGAAAAGAAAAGACCAACAUGAGGCUUUGCGUGGGUAAGAUGUAGAAAAUGUACAAAGCGUACAGUUUUAUUCUUAUCGAGGUAAUUUGGAAGAAAACUCAACAACAGAGAGAGGAAAGCAGAGCCAGAUCUAUGUAAACUCAAACAAAGCCGUUAAUUUGACCUUAAAGUCUUACUUAGGAUGAAGUUUACACGAAUAUUGAUUUAAAGGUUACAUCAGCUGAGAUAGUUCCAACAAGGUAUGCACAGUUUUGUCAAUGGCAGAUAAAAGCAUUAAAGUUGUAAACCCCCAAUCCUCUCUCAGUCUGCGGCCCAUGCUCCCUCAUAAUGAUCAGAGUUAGGUCCUUUAGAGAUGACUAAAGGCUGACUUUAAUGUCCAGUGCACUUUCAUUUUUCUAUCCUGGAAAACAACUUACAGGUAAAUCUACAUUAAGGUGACCAGACGUCCCUGAUUUCCGGGGACAGUCCCCAACUAAGGCUAUCCUCGGAUAUGGCCCUGAUUUAAGCGUUUUAUGAAUGAGAAGAAAAAAAAUGUUGGGUGAAGACUAAAACAACAGUUAUUACGGUGGCUGAGUAAGCAUGUUGCGCAGAGUCCUGAACAACAGUUUUUAUGGAGGGUUAUUACGGGGGGCAUGCGCUGCUACUCAAUAGUACCGAGUUGUUGUUAUCACACAGCCGAUGCCCCUCUCCUCCAGAAAUAGAGGGCCUGAAAUCACAUUUUGCUCAGCGCCACCCAUCCCCUGGAUGUCUCCGGAUUUCACUCUCUGCUGCUCAGAGCUGCGCACUGUGCACGCUAAUCCUGAUAGUAAAUGACGAGUUCGUUGUAGAGUGUUUCAGUGUUUAUCCCCAUCUUACUUCCAAAAAACAUCCAAUUUGCAAGAGAACACAUCAACGAUUCAUUAUGGUCCAGACUACAUGUUGAGGGGUUAAGUCAAAGUUAGCAACCACCUAAUUUAACUAACUUUGUAAUCACAAAAAUGGUCAUGUUAGAGUGAUAUUAAUGACUGUGUGCAGGUAUAAUAUUUGCUAUGUGGCUUUUUCGCAUUUUGCACCAAAUAAAUGUAUAACAGAUCACCCAAAUAUAAGUAAACAGCACUGUUGCAGAGAGACGUUAUAUGUGCAGUUUGUUGUGCAUUUAAGUCUUUGUGCACAAGUCAUAUGCACAGGUUUAGUGGGAACAAAAGCCAUUUAAUCAUUGUGUGAAUCAGGCCUUCACUUUGUGUAAAAUGAGAAGCUAUAAUCACAAAAACAGAUCGUUUCAUAUAAAGGCCUGUCUCUAAUAAAAGCCUGUGUAAUAGAUAAAUGUCUGGGUUCAUACUUGAGGAUUUACGGUGCCAAAAUAUAGAGAUAAUAACAUAUGAUUUCAAUUAAAGUCCCAUUUUUUCUUCCAACAAUUUAACAAUAAAUAAAUGACUAAAUAUGAAACACUGAAUUAUAACAAAACGCAGUGAGAACAGCUUAAACACCAGGUAGAAGAUUUGAUAAUGUGGGAAAAAGUGUGAAAAAUCAAAUUUGCAUCUGUACACUCAUCUCAAGCACAGAUACAAAGGAUCUAUUAUCUUUGUUACUGUCACCUGUGCCACACUGGAAGAGAUCAGCAUCCUUCUGAGAACAAUCACAAUCCAUUCAAUCUGACUGAGACUUCGCUCAAACCCACGAGUGAGUGCGAAUGUGCUGAUUUACUUGAUUCACAGUCAAAACUGGAGAAAAAACCCAAAUCUAUUCAAGUUAAAAAAUAAAAAUGUCUGAGUCCGUCUCUUCUAAUCCUCUCUAGGAGACAGUUUUAUAAUGAAAAAGUAUUAAGUGAGUGAGGCAGAUGUUGAUUCUGCCUCCAGAGACCUCCGGUUAGAUAAACAGAGUCUGAGCAGCAGGUAUAGUACAUCACCCACGCACACUUUUCAUUCUCAUCUGCAGCACAACGCUGCUGCUCUGCUCCUCAGGGGUCAGCAUAUGGCUGCACAUAAUUUCUUCUGCGCCUCCUAAGUGGCCUUAGACGAUUUUAUUAUUGUAACAAUAUGGUCUAGGUUCUGCUGCACGUUGGGCACAACUGCAUUAUAAUUAAGAAGACGCAGACAAUGCUAAAUUACAAUGUGCUCCCUCUGCAAGAACAAUAACCACAUUAUCACUUUUGAUUUAGUACAACAGUGCUGCAGAAUCACAGGAGAGAACAACAAGCUGCCUUUUCUCCCUAAUUUUCCUACUCAGCAGACUUAACUAGAGCACACCAAGAAGCACAUCCUCAGACUCAGGGAAGCCCACACUGAGAUGACGAAGCUGCUGUUCCUCGAGUGUCCACUAGAGACUCACCUAUACUGCCACCAUCUUGGUAAGGGUUUCUUGUUUAAAGCAUGUUAUCCAGUAACAUGCUUUAAGUCCAGUAGUAGAAUGGGACUGUCCCCUUCCUGGGUAAACCACUCUGGGUGGGACUGUUGAAGCUGGUUCAUGUACAUCCAGGCCUUCAUGGAGUGCAGUUAGCUUCUUCAGCCAGUAGGAGGUGUGGAUCAUGUCAGAUCGUCAUUUUUGACACUCCCUCUUUGUUCACCAGACUCAGCCUUUCUGUGACUUUCUAGAGACGACUAACCUUCCUCCAUGUCGCCUUGGGUUUGCCUUUUCCCAUGGUGGAUACUGCGUCUUGGGGCUCAAGGAUGAUGGCCAUGUUCUUUGUAGUGGCAGUUCCUGAGAGUCACUAAGCCUUGGUAAGCAAGGGCAU